CCUACGGGAGGCAGCAGUGGGGAAUUUUGGACAAUGGGCGAAAGCCUGAUCCAGCAAUGCCGCGUGAGUGAAGAAGGCCUUCGGGUUGUAAAGCUCUUUUGUCAGGGAAGAAACGGUGGGAGCUAAUAUCUCUUGCUAAUGACGGUACCUGAAGAAUAAGCACCGGCUAACUACGUGCCAGCAGCCGCGGUAAUACGUAGGGUGCAAGCGUUAAUCGGAAUUACUGGGCGUAAAGCGUGCGCAGGCGGUUUUGUAAGUCUGAUGUGAAAUCCCCGGGCUCAACCUGGGAAUUGCAUUGGAGACUGCAAGGCUAGAAUCUGGCAGAGGGGGGUAGAAUUCCACGUGUAGCAGUGAAAUGCGUAGAUAUGUGGAGGAACACCGAUGGCGAAGGCAGCCCCCUGGGUCAAGAUUGACGCUCAUGCACGAAAGCGUGGGGAGCAAACAGGAUUAGAUACCCUGGUAGUCCACGCCCUAAACGAUGUCUACUAGUUGUCGGGUCUUAAUUGACUUGGUAACGCAGCUAACGCGUGAAGUAGACCGCCUGGGGAGUCGGUCGCAAGNUAAAACUCAAGGAAUUGACGGCNGAGAGAGCGAGCGACGACGAGGGAGAGG
RNAcentral lists this ribosomal RNA (612 nucleotides) under uncultured bacterium. RNAcentral describes it as "bacterial SSU rRNA". It matches the Rfam family "Bacterial small subunit ribosomal RNA", at positions 338 to 946 of the family's 1533-position model. The record is from RNAcentral.